UACGGGGGGGGCAAGCGUUGUUCGGAAUUACUGGGCGUAAAGGGCUCGUAGGCGGCCAACUAAGUCGGAUGUGAAAUCCCCAGGCUCAACCUGGGAACUGCAUCCGAUACUGGAUGGCUUGAAUUCGGGAGAGGGAUGCAGAAUUCCAGGUGUAGCGGUGAAAUGCGUAGAUAUCAGGAGGAACACCGGUGGCGAAGGCGGGUCUCUGGGCCGAUAUUGACGCUGAGGAGCGAAAGCGUGGGGAGCGAACAGG
This 253-nucleotide ribosomal RNA is filed under the name uncultured bacterium. RNAcentral's name for it is "partial 16S ribosomal RNA". It matches the Rfam family "Bacterial small subunit ribosomal RNA", at positions 524 to 776 of the family's 1533-position model. The record is from RNAcentral.